Cyprinus carpio (common carp) is the source of this 772-nucleotide long non-coding RNA. RefSeq lists it as uncharacterized. Lineage: Eukaryota; Metazoa; Chordata; Actinopteri; Cypriniformes; Cyprinidae. The record is from RefSeq and is a predicted model, not a curated record. The transcript has 3 exons.
GCCUUGCGACCAUCCUUACGUCAUUACUUUGCGUCUUUACGCGAGAAACAAACAUCCGUUUUGUUCACAAAUGACUAAAUGUUAACGUGAAACAUGGAACCUUUAAAACAAUACGCGAAAUCUAAAGGGCGGAUUAAAGGAAAAUACUUAAAUAACAAAUGUGCACAUGGCGGUUUAACACACAACGACAAAAAGAAAAGAAAAUGGGUUCCAGAGAACAAAGUUUUUGAUGGUAGUUUAAAAGAAGGUCAGGGAUUUGCCUUCAAAAGGAAGAAGAAGAUAAAACAUGAAUAUAACAAACUUCUCUGAAAAGAGGAAGAAAAUGCAACCAUCAUCAAUCCAGUUAGAGGAGGAAUAUCCCGAAAUGUGGCUUAGUACACACACACACACACACACACACACACACACACACUAAGCCACAUUUCUGAUUUGUGUCAUCAGCUCCCAUAAGACUCCAUUCAUCCAAAGGAAGCAGAAAAUGUCAUCGUAUCAGAAGACAAAGCAAGAAUAUGAAAGGAUAAAGGAGGAACGUGCAAGAAAACAAGAGGAAUUCUUGAAAGACAAAGCUCAGUGAGAGGAGGCGCUGAAAAUAUAUAAGGAGAAGAAAAUGGCCACAUAUCAGUUGUUGAAGAGAAGAACUAAGAAAGGUCAGCUCAACCUCAAUCUGCAUAUGGAGCUAUUGCUGCAAAAUAUUCAAGCUCAGCACAAAUAAUUCAGUAUCAACCAUAAAAUGAGACUGUUUAGAGUUAAAAUAGACCAUCACACAAUAAAC